AUGCUUUGUCAGCCUCGUGCCGGGAGCGAACUCCCGCACCGUCUCCUCCUGCUUGCUGACUUUGAAGGAUGCUUCACCCCUCACCCCCUCCAACAAGGGAGAAGAAAUACCAAAGAUAGAAUGGGGAGGGCAUGUUCCAGUUGGAUUGUGCUAAUGCACAUAUUCAUGAAUCUCUCCAAACAGGAUUCACUGCUCUCCAGGGAACCCUUGAACUGCCCUGCUGCCUCUGUUCUUUUCCCAACUGAGCAGCACAGUUUGAAGCAGAUGAAGAAAGACUUUGCCAUUGUAUCUACUACUAAAGAUUCCUGGGAAAGGAAUUAUUACAGUUUAUUCACACACUGCCAUCUAGUUAGAUUAUCCCUUAAAAUAAUAACCUAUGUAUGCACGCUUUUCUGUCUCCCCAAUUUUCUAUCUUCUAUGAUCCCCUAUGUCCCUCUUUAUUUUCUUCUGGUGACUGCAUUUGUCCUCUAA
This 471-nucleotide long non-coding RNA is filed under the name Oryctolagus cuniculus (rabbit). RNAcentral describes it as "lncRNA (ENSOCUG00000032426.1)". Lineage: Eukaryota; Metazoa; Chordata; Mammalia; Lagomorpha; Leporidae. The record is from RNAcentral.